CCGCCUGAUCGAUGAUCCUUAUGAUCCCCUUCAAAUCUAGGGUUUCCGCCACCCCCCUCCCUCCCUCUCCGCCACCUCCCCCCUUACCAUGUCCUCUCCGAUCAACCACCGCCGCCCCCGCCGCCGCCGCCGCCGCCGCCCAUCGCCCGAUCAACGGCCAGAUCCCCUCCCCGCCGUGCCCCCACCUCGCCGACUUCCGCGCCCGUAACGGAUCCAAGCCCUUCUGCGCCCUCCAGGCCUGCCUCCGCGUCAAGCCCCCCGGCGGCCGCGCCGCCAUCCGCCGCGAGCCCUCCGAGGUCCCCCGCUGCGGCGCCUGCGGCGACGCCGCCCGCCCCCGCCUCUUCGCCUGCAUGGCCUGCGCCGCCGUGUCCUGCCACGCGCCCCCGGGCCCUCCCACGCGGCCGCGCACGCCGAGGCCAUGCCCCCGGCCACGAGAUCGCCGUCGACGUCGACCGCGCCGAGCUGUUCUGCUGCGUGUGCCGCGAUCAGGUCUACGAUCGCGACUUCGACGCCGCCGUGGUCCUGGCCCAGACCGCGGCCUCCACUCUGCCGGCCUCCGCCAGCUCCUCCGGCGGCUCCCGGGCGGUGGUGGCCCCGGAGAACCUGCGCAAGCGGCGGAGGGUUGAUUACCGGCCGUGGUCGCCGGACCCGCGCGAGCGCGCCCUAAUGGGGAGCUUUUCGAGCCCCCUCGAGUCCGUCCCGACCUCGGAUUUGCCGCGGGGCUUGCGGGGGCUCAAUAACUUGGGGAACACCUGCUUUAUGAAUUCGGUGUUGCAGGCAUUGUUGCACACUCCUCCUUUGAGGAACUACUUCUUGAGUGACAGGCACAAUAGGUACUUUUGUCAGAAGAACAAUGGGGUUGGUGGAAAUGUGAGUAAAAGGAAUGUAGAUGAUGCUCUUGAUGGAGGCCAUGGGAGCAAGAAUGGCAGCUUCUGUUUGGCCUGUGACAUGGACGCCAUGUUCUCGGCGGUGUUUUCAGGGGAGCGGAUGCCUUAUAGUCCGGCGAAGUUCCUGUACAGUUGGUGGCAACAUGCAGCUAACUUGGCAAGUUAUGAGCAGCAGGACGCUCAUGAGUUUUUCAUUUCAAUGCUUGAUGGGAUCCAUGAGAAAGUGGAUAAGGAUCGACGCCGGCCGCAGAGCCAAGGGAGUGGAGAUUGCUGUAUUGCUCACAGAGUAUUCUCUGGUAUCUUACGCUCUGAUGUCAUGUGUAUGGCUUGUGGUUUCACAUCUACAACAUAUGACCCUUGCUUGGACAUUUCUUUGGAUCUGGAACAAAGCCAACGUGGUUCUGUGAAGGCGACAUCAGCUAAGUCACAUCACUCCUGCAAUGGCGAGGCAGAGUGCAUGAAUUCAAGCCAGAACUCUGGGAUACCGACCUUGAUGGGCUGCUUGGACCGAUUCACAAGACCGGAGAGGCUCGGUUCAGACCAGAAGUUAUUCUGCCAACAGUGUCAGGUGAGUCAGGAGUCUCUCAAGCAGAUGUCCAUAAGGAAGCUCCCAUUGGUUUCUUGCUUUCACAUCAAAAGAUUUGAACAUUCUUCCAUACGGAAGAUGUCGAGGAAGAUUGACCGAUAUCUGCAUUUUCCAUUUUCACUGGACAUGGCCCCUUACCUCUCUUCUUCCAUUUUGAGGAGAAGAUUUGGGAACAGGAUUUUCCCUUUUGAUGGGGACGAACCUGAUGCAUCAAACGAGUUCUCCUCAGAAUUUGAGCUGUUUGCUGUUGUCACUCACGCUGGUAAAUUAGACGCAGGCCAUUAUGUGACUUAUCUGCGUCUGAGCAAUCAGUGGUACAAGUGCGACGAUGCUUGGAUUACCCAAGUGAAUGAGAACAUUGUGAGAGCUGCACAAGGGUACAUGAUGUUCUAUGUCCAGAAAAUGCUAUAUUAUAGAGCAAGUGAUAAAAUGGGUGCUUCAUGAUAGCCUUCGGAAAUUAAAAUACCAGUUGCUGGUGCUGUAUUAUGCGUGUCUUGCGCUAAAUCGCCGGGACUCGAGGUCAAUAUGCAGAAUAAAGCGAAGAACAGUGCUGCAGUUGCUGCUUUGUCUGUGAACUGAAUUUUAAUGAGUUGCUGCAGCUAAUUGCGGAAUGCCAAACAACUCUCUUCCAUCGGGGCAAACAUCCGUCAGAAAAUAAUCUGUAAUUCUACUUUGGAGCUGUGCUGAGCCUAAUUUUAUUUGGGGUGCCUCAGCGGACGAGGGAAUCGCUUAGUGGAGCCCUCAGAGUUAUUUAUGAGUUAAUUAUUUCAACUUUUCCCCCCUAAUUUUUCCUGCUUGUCCAAGUAUUGAUGGUGGGUCGAUUCUUUUUUUUUUUUGUGACAUGGAUCCUCGCGAAGGUUGAUGCUUGGAGCUGUGGGUUCUUUCCGGUAUGCUCAUUCCUUGCAUUCCAUAUUGUACUUUUAUUGGGAUUUUUUUAAGCUUCGGAGCUUUCUUGGGGAGGCGCUUCAUAUCAAUUUCUUGAAACGGAAAUGUGAGGAAUGUUAUGCCGGAGAUUUUGUAUGUCGUACUUGUUUUGAGCAAAGAGAAAUCAUAGUAUGACUAACUACACCUUUACAUUCUUGAUA
Molecule: RNA transcript, 2558 nt
Organism: Eucalyptus grandis
Lineage: Eukaryota; Viridiplantae; Streptophyta; Magnoliopsida; Myrtales; Myrtaceae
Gene name: ubiquitin C-terminal hydrolase 22-like
Exons: 3
Source: RefSeq, a predicted model, not a curated record